GAACAAGUUCCAUUUAUUUUCGUAUACAGGUGUUUUGUACAGUCCACAUACACAUACACACCUUGUAUGUCAGAAUUGUCAUGAAACGACGAUAUGACACACAUUUAUAAUUUUUUCUAUCUGAAGUUUUUGUGAACUAUAUAAGUGUGGUAUUUUGAAUUUAACUGUUCAAUCAACCGAAAAAAACCAAGUCUUUCUUAUGAAUUUGUCAUAAUUCGAAUGAAAUGGUGAUACUGUACAAAUUUUGAUAGAGUUCGCCCUUCAAAAUUGUGACAUGUAUAAAGUGCACGGUCAAUAUAAUUUUCAUACGCAUAAUUAGUAAUUUAUAAACAAACCGAGAGUACAAACAAUCUUGAAUCAUCCGGGAUUUUCGGGAUAGCAGAUUUGUUUUUAAUUGCAAAAAUAAUUAUUAUAUAUUAUUAUAUUACAUACUGAACAUUUUCGGAUACAUGAAUGAUUGCAUUCAUUCCUAGCUUGUGGGCAGCAGUAUCACACGCGUGCUUUAGUGAAUGUGCGUUAAAACUUCAUAUUACAAUUUGUAGAGUUUCAAUUUUGCAAGUUUUCAUAGUCAAAAUGUUAGAAUGUUUUGAUUUUCUUUUUUCAAUGUUCUCUGGAAUGUUUGGAGGCGCUCCCGAGUAUGGAUAUGGAUAUGGAAAUCAAUAUGGCGGCGGGGGAUUUAACGGAAGGCCACCAAUCUAUGGAGGACCAUGGGGUCUUGGCUACGGGAGACCUGGCUAUGGUGGCUUCGGAUCAUAUGGUUUCGGUGGUGCUUAUUACGGAUACAACUAUGGGAUCGGACAAUAUGGAGCUCAAGUAUAUGGUCGCUGAAUGAUUCAACUUUUUUUUUCACUUAAAAAUAUGAAUUCCACACUAGGGGCGAGACACAAAUUCUAUUAGAGUCUAGUUACACUCAAUUUUAUAUAUUUUUUGCUUCAUGUCCUCUAAUUUUUCUAGUUUUGGUGCAAAAGUGCUAAUAUUGUGCUAUUAUUUCUAGUAAAAUCGCUUGCAGAGCAUAUUACACUGUCAAUACAACGCUUAUGGAAGACCUAACGGGACUAUUUUGU
Molecule: long non-coding RNA, 1064 nt
Organism: Sitodiplosis mosellana (orange wheat blossom midge)
Lineage: Eukaryota; Metazoa; Arthropoda; Insecta; Diptera; Cecidomyiidae
Exons: 3
Source: RefSeq, a predicted model, not a curated record